UACGUAGGGUGCGAGCGUUGUCCGGAAUUAUUGGGCGUAAAGCGCUUGUAGGCGGUUUGUCGCGUCUGCCGUGAAAAUCCGGGGCUCAACCCCGGACUUGCGGUGGGUACGGGCAGACUAGAGUGUGGUAGGGGAGACUGGAAUUCCUGGUGUAGCGGUGAAAUGCGCAGAUAUCAGGAGGAACACCGAUUGCGAAGGCAGCUCGCUGGGACGUCACUGACGCUGAGACGCGAAAGCGUGGGGAGCAAACAGG
This 253-nucleotide ribosomal RNA is filed under the name uncultured bacterium. RNAcentral's name for it is "partial 16S ribosomal RNA". It matches the Rfam family "Bacterial small subunit ribosomal RNA", at positions 524 to 776 of the family's 1533-position model. The record is from RNAcentral.